GAAAGGCCCCCUGGGCGAGCCCGAGAUGGCUCCAGCGCAAGGCCCGCAGCUCUGUUUCGUGGUGGGUCCCACGAGCCCGAUCAAGCCCAAGGGCAAGUCUUGCCUGGGCUGAAGCCCGAGUUUGGUGACGUCAGUGUGACGUCACUUCCGACAGGCUCCAACAGGAAUAUGCCACGUGGCGCGUCCCGGACCCUUCGAUGCAAUUUUUUCCAGAAAUCUGAC
This 222-nucleotide long non-coding RNA is filed under the name Prunus persica (peach). RNAcentral's name for it is "long non-coding RNA (PPER_LNC002982)". The record is from RNAcentral. Lineage: Eukaryota; Viridiplantae; Streptophyta; Magnoliopsida; Rosales; Rosaceae.